UACGGGGGGAGCAAGCGUUGUUCGGAUUUACUGGGCGUAAAGGGCGCGUAGGCGGCCACCGCAAGUCAGUUGUGAAAGCUCUGGGCUUAACCCAGAAAGGUCAACUGAUACUGCGGGGCUAGAGUGCAGAAGGGGCAACUGGAAUUCUCGGUGUAGCGGUGAAAUGCGUAGAUAUCGAGAGGAACACCUGCGGCGAAGGCGGGUUGCUGGGCUGACACUGACGCUGAAGCGCGAAAGCCAGGGGAGCGAACGGG
Molecule: ribosomal RNA, 254 nt
Filed under: uncultured bacterium
Lineage: Bacteria
Description: partial 16S ribosomal RNA
Rfam family: Bacterial small subunit ribosomal RNA
Source: RNAcentral